UUUUGGUCUAGCGCAAAAAUGAAAGUCUUCUUUACUCUAUCUCUUUUACUAGCAUUAUUUUAUACUGCUACCAGCAAGCCACAUUAUAUGUUUAAUAUUGCAGGUAGCUCUCGCUGUGUCAAUGUCUGGGACGAUGGUUGCACCAACGGUCAACUGCCGGGUGCUGGUGACGACGAUGAUUAUUUGAACGGUGGUUUUAAUCCGGGAAAACGUUGCAUUAAUAU
Molecule: long non-coding RNA, 224 nt
Organism: Pieris rapae (cabbage white)
Lineage: Eukaryota; Metazoa; Arthropoda; Insecta; Lepidoptera; Pieridae
Exons: 3
Source: RefSeq, a predicted model, not a curated record